Molecule: ribosomal RNA, 249 nt
Filed under: uncultured Actinomycetales bacterium
Lineage: Bacteria; Bacillati; Actinomycetota; Actinomycetes; Actinomycetales
Description: partial 16S ribosomal RNA
Rfam family: Bacterial small subunit ribosomal RNA
Source: RNAcentral
GGGGUGCUCGAGUGGCGAACGGGUGAGUAACACGUGAGUAACCUGCCCUUGACUUUGGGAUAACUUCAGGAAACUGGGGCUAAUACCGGAUAGGAGCUCCUGCUGCAUGGUGGGGGUUGGAAAGUUUCGGCGGUUGGGGAUGGACUCGCGGCUUAUCAGCUUGUUGGUGGGGUAAUGGCCUACCAAGGCGGCGACGGGUAGCCGGCCUGAGAGGGUGUACGGCCACAUUGGGACUGAGAUACGGCCCAG